GACCGUGUGGCCUAACGGAUAAGGCGUCGGACUUCGGAUCCGGAGAUUGCAGGUUCGAGUCCUACCAUGGUCG
This 73-nucleotide transfer RNA is filed under the name Blattella germanica (German cockroach). RNAcentral describes it as "tRNA-Arg (TCG) (tRNA-Arg-TCG-14-1)". It matches the Rfam family "tRNA". From Rfam's summary of the family: Transfer RNA (tRNA) molecules are approximately 80 nucleotides in length. Their secondary structure includes four short double-helical elements and three loops (D, anti-codon, and T loops). Lineage: Eukaryota; Metazoa; Arthropoda; Insecta; Blattodea; Blattellidae. The record is from RNAcentral.